This 489-nucleotide ribosomal RNA is filed under the name uncultured bacterium. RNAcentral describes it as "partial 16S ribosomal RNA". It matches the Rfam family "Bacterial small subunit ribosomal RNA", at positions 28 to 507 of the family's 1533-position model. The record is from RNAcentral.
GACGAACGCUGGCGGCGUGCUUAACACAUGCAAGUCGAACGGAAAGGCCCGGCACUUGUGGGAUGCUCGAGUGGCGAACGGGGGAGUAUCACGUGAGUAACCUGCCCUUGACUGUGGGAGAACUCCAGGAGACAGGGGCGAAUACCGGACAUGAGCUCCUGCAGCAUGGGGGGGGUUGGAAAGAUACGCCGGUGGGGGAUGGACACGCGGCUUAUCAGCUUGUUGGGGGGGUAGUGGCUCACCAAGGCUUGGAUGGGUAGCCGGCCUGAGAGGGUGAUCGGCCACAUUGAGACUGAGACGCGGCCCAAUCGCCUACGGGAGGCACCCGUAGGGCAUCGGCGGCGAUGGACGAAAGUCUGACCGAGCAACGCCGGGUGAGUGAAGAACGUUGUCGGAUCGUAAAACUCUGUUGGUAGAGAAGAACGUGGGUGAGAGUGGAACGCUCAUCAAGUGACGGUAACGACCCAGAAAGGGACGGCUAACUACGUG